This 454-nucleotide ribosomal RNA is filed under the name uncultured Paludibacter sp. Its description in RNAcentral is "partial 16S ribosomal RNA". It matches the Rfam family "Bacterial small subunit ribosomal RNA", at positions 341 to 792 of the family's 1533-position model. The record is from RNAcentral. Lineage: Bacteria; Pseudomonadati; Bacteroidota; Bacteroidia; Bacteroidales; Paludibacteraceae.
ACGGAAGGCAGCAGUGAGGAAUAUUGGUCAAUGGGCGAGAGCCUGAGCCAGCCAAGUCGCGUGAAGGAAGACGGCCCUAUGGGUUGUAAACUUCUUUUGCAUGGGAAUAAAGUGAGGGAUGCGUCCCUUUUUGUAUGUACCAUGCGAAUAAGGAUCGGCUAACUCCGUGCCAGCAGCCGCGGUAAUACGGAGGAUCCGAGUGUUAUCCGGAUUUAUUGGGUUUAAAGGGUGCGUAGGCGGGCGAUCAAGUCAGUGGUGAAAUGGUGUGGCUCAACCAUAGCAUUGCCGUUGAAACUGGUUGUCUUGAGUGCGAAUGAGGUGGGCGGAAUGUGUCAUGUAGCGGUGAAAUGCUUAGAUAUGCCACAGAACACCGAUUGCGAAGGCAGCUCACUGGGACGCAACUGACGCUGAGGCACGAAAGUGCGGGGAUCGAACAGGAUUAGAUACCCUGGUA